This is a non-coding RNA of Bactrocera oleae (olive fruit fly), 3775 nucleotides long. Lineage: Eukaryota; Metazoa; Arthropoda; Insecta; Diptera; Tephritidae. The record is from RefSeq and is a predicted model, not a curated record.
ACUGGUCAAUCCGUGGCGAAAUUAAAUUUUUUUAUUUCAAUCGCUGUUGUUGUUGUUGUUGGGAAUAUAAUUUUUUCCUUAAUUCUGCUCCAAAGCGAGCGACUAUAAUUAUAAUUCUAUUAAGGCACCUUUACAACAUCACCAUAACUGUUUGUAUAUAUAUGUAUGUUUGUGUUUGUAUGUGUGUUAAUGCCUCGAAAAGUAGUCGAAGUUCAAAGUUCGCUGAUCUUUCUGCUCCUCUGCUCCUACGGUUGUCAAUUUGUUAUGCCUUAAGUCAAGUUAUUGUUGUUGUUGCAUUUUUAUAUUUUAAUUUCAGAAUUGUGCUGCGAUUAACUGCAUUAACGGUUAUUAAAGUCUGCUGCACAUAUGUAUAUGUAAGUUUAUAUGUUCGUAUGUAUGUGUUUGGGUUGUAGGAAACGCUUGCUAUUAAUUAAUAAGACGAAUGUGGAACUUGGCUUCAUAAUUAAUAUUCGCUGUGUUUGUAAUCAGAUUAAAGCUGCCGACUGAUUGCAGGGAAAUGACAGUCUGUUAAGUGGCUUAAUAAGCAGAAGUAAGCUCAGUAACUUAUUAUCACAUUGGAAGGCGUGAAGUAGCUGAAUUGCUAGCUAGAAUUUGGAGAUCCAAGAAGUAUUAUAUUUUAUUUCCUAAUUGGAAUUUGGCAUAAUUUCAUCGGUAAAUAGUUUCAAGUUUUAUACUACGAAUUGCAGUUGUCCCUAUCUCACAAAAAACCGAUGUCUCUUUUUACCGUAUUGUACUAAGUACUUCUACUACAACUACAUGUAUAUCGAAUGUACAUAAAAAAGGAAAAUUUCGCCAAAACGGCUGGACCGAUCGACUAGAAGCGUAUCAUACGACUUUUAUUUUAAGCCCUCUUAUACUACCAACCUAGGUGUAUGUUUUUUUAGUCUUUGUCACUAAAUUGUACUUGAUGUUUUUUGGAUCAAAUUUCAUUCAUUCAAAAAUUGUUCUUAUUUAACAUCUCGUUACAUAUGUAUGGUUAGUAGCCUUGGCAGUGAUCAGCAGAUCAAAUUUGGCACUCCUAUCAAUAAGCUAGAUGCCAAAGAGGUUAACUUGGCCUACGCCGGCGCUUUUUCUUUUGAGAACGAUUAAAGUACCGAGGAUUAUUUAUAUUGAAAAUGUUUAGCAAUUAAUUAUAUAGAACAAAUUAUCAAGCGUCGAAAAGUAGGCAACUAUUAAUCACGCAAAGCAUACAUUUAAGCGCACAGCAUAUCAUUAUGUUGAUAAGCUUUAGCUCUACGCUCAGUAUAUUGAAUACAUGUAUAUUAAUUUAUAAAAAAAAGCACAAUUUAACAGCACUAAGUAUAGUAUCAAUAAAUGUGUGGUAGGCGAUUAUAGUUAAUAGUUUAAUGUUCCGUUUCCUUCUUAGUAGAAUUUACAUAAGCGGAACAGAUUACGCCAAACAAACAAGAGUAGCAUUCCUCAAUAUGAGUAUAUUGUAGAAAAAUCUGUGCCGCUCCAGUAGCGUCAACCAAUUUUUUGGUCUCUCUAUAAUGAUAGCAAUGGGUUCCAUUGCCGAACCAAAAAUGUUCAUCGACGCAAGUAUAAAUUUAUCACAUAUCAAGUAGAGCUCUCAAAAUUAUUCGAAUGGCUACAGUAAUCGCAUACCACAGGCCAAUUAUCCGUUGAAUGUUAAUAUCUAUUAAAAAGUUUGUUAUAUUAACAUUUAGUCGUAGUUUGUUGAUUAUGAUUGCCGAAUCUACAAUCGAUUCGUCAAUGCUUGAACUGUACCGAAUCGAACAGACAGCUAAAUAAUAAAAACUGGUAUAAAUCUUCUAUAAAAGCUUUAUCAAAGAAUAUAGUAUGGAAUGCGAUUAUACUACCUUAACUUUGUUAUUACUUUCUUUCGUGAAUUAUUUUACAAGAGAGCAGUGCGGAUAAACCGAAAGUAAUGACGAAUUGAAGGCUGCUAGUGUUGAGUUCGGAAUAUGUUUUUCAUCAAAUAAUAUACUUAUAGGAAUUUGGAAGCAUAUUUUUUUUCCAAUUGAACAUUCUUUGGCCACUCACUUACAACAAAAACUGGCUUAGUAUUUAUAUAUAUAUAUAUAUAUAUAUAUAGUUCUUUACAUUUUCAAGUUAUCUCUUUAAGUGUUGUUAUUUUUUCAUUCUCCAAAAUAUAAUAGAUUCGCAUAUCACCAAUAUUUUCUUACUGCAAACUAUGAUCUAAUGAGUUUCAAUGUUACUGAAAUAUUUUUUUAACAAAAUUCCAUAUUGUUUCCCGUUUCAACUUCCUGCUAAUGCGGUCAUCAAAAUAGCAUAAUAGCAAAAUAGUACCAUAUUUAUCAAUAUAAGUUUACAAUAUGCAGUGUCGGUAGAACACUUCCGCAUAAGCUUGGGUGGACCAUAUGAUUUGAGGAUUUGUCGAUAAAUUUCGAAGCUCUAGAAUGUUAUGAAAUACAAGCGCUGAGUCUGGCACCGCGUGCUGCUCUCUUCCCCUGUCGCACCGCUCGCAAGACUUUCGGCCAGUUUACCUCCACGACGUAUAGAAUUGCAUGAUGAAAUUCUCAAGUACAGCUGAUUUUUUUUUGUUAUUUUUUUAUUAUUCAAUUUAUUUAUCUGAAUAAUUUCGCUUUUGUUAUUUGUGUAAUAAAUCUCUAUUUGAAACUGCAACUGCUGCUGUCGUUGUUGUUGCACACAUGAAAUUAUUGCUAUUUGUUAUUUAUUAAGGAAAUUUGAGGAAAUGCCACGCCAUGCCACACAUACAAUUUCGUUGCGAUUUUAUUUAUUCUGCUGAGCGCUAUUCAUUUCAUAUUUAUUUUCAUUGGCAUAACCAGUUUUUUGUUGUUGUUUUUUUAAAUGUAUUUUUUUUUCGAUUUUUUGCUUCUUUCUUUGAUUAGUAAUUUAUUUUCUAUAUUUUUUACGCCAUUUUCAAUAGUCAAACCAAAUUUGUGCGAAUAUUUGUGUGUAUGUAUGUGUCUAUGUGUGCGUGUGUUUAUUUAUGGCGAAUAUUUAAAAAGCAGCAGCUAAAAGCAGCAAAUAUGUUAAUAGAAAAAUAGGAAUAAUGCAAAAACAACAACAAACAUAAGUAAGUCUGGCAAUUUCCAUACCACAAAAUACGCAGCUGCAUUCAAGGCAAAGCGACGGGGCAGCGGUAUAGCGCGUUCGGCUUUUGGUGUUUGACGUUCGGCGGUGGUUUUGGGGUGGCGGCACGUUGCAUUUCAGUUGGCGCAUUCAAGGUGAGGUCCAAGUUGAUGAUUUUUUAUUUCGUUUGUUUGCGUUUUAGUUGUUGCGCUGUUGUUGCUGCUGAAUUUGAUACUUCAUUGUUCGGCACUUGCUGUUGUUGUUUGUAUAUCAUUGUGGUUGUUGUUUGCUGUUUGUGUUGCCCGCUUUUAACGUCAACCAGUUACAAUUGGCUUAUUCUUAGCAUUACUCAAAUGUGUGAGUAGGAGUGUGUAUAUCAAAAACAACAAUGCCAAAUACAACAACAAUGUAGCGUAACAAAAAAGUGAGUAAAGCAUUGGCCACCAAAUAUGUCGUUUGUAUUGUUGUCGAAAAAUGAAACUAAAAAAUAAAUUACGCCUACAACAAUAGCAAAUAUUACUACCCGCAACUAUCCACCAUUUCCACCACCAACACUAAUACCAACAAAAACUGCUAAUUGUAGUCACAAAUUUGUGUUCGUCACAGUCGCUGCGCUGCCAUUGGACGUUAUUUUCGUCAUUUGCCUUCGGUUAUUUGCUUUGUUGUAGUUAUUGUUGCUGUUGUUUUUGUUAGCUACGAUUUUACUUAUUCUCGGUUGCCUAUUUGGGUGGUUGGC